UGCCAACGUCCUACCUGACUUAGCUGG
RNAcentral lists this non-coding RNA (27 nucleotides) under Mus musculus (house mouse). Lineage: Eukaryota; Metazoa; Chordata; Mammalia; Rodentia; Muridae. The record is from RNAcentral.